This 492-nucleotide ribosomal RNA is filed under the name uncultured bacterium. Its description in RNAcentral is "partial 16S ribosomal RNA". It matches the Rfam family "Bacterial small subunit ribosomal RNA", at positions 28 to 507 of the family's 1533-position model. The record is from RNAcentral.
GAUGAACGCUCGCUACAGGCUUAACACAUGCAAGUCGAGGGGAAACGACAUCGAAAGCUUGCUUUUGAUGGGCGUCGACCGGCGCACGGGUGAGUAACGCGUAUCCAACCUGCCCAUCACUUGGGAAUAACCUUGCGAAAGUAAGACUAAUACCCAAUGACAUCCCACGAAGACAUCUGAAUGGGAUUAAAGAUUUAUCGGUGAUGGAUGGGGAUGCGUCUGAUUAGCUUGUUGGCGGGGUAACGGCCCACCAAGGCAACGAUCAGUAGGGGUUCUGAGAGGAAGGUCCCCCACAUUGGAACUGCGACACGGUCCAAACUCCUACGGGAGGCAGCAGUGAGGAAUAUUAGUCAAUGGGCGAGAGCCUGAACCAGCCAAGUAGCGUGCAGGAGGACGGCCCUAUGGGUUGUAAACUGCUUUUAUAAGGGAAUAAAGUGGGUAUCGUGAGACUUUUUGCAUGUACCUUAUGAAUAAGGACCGGCUAAUUCCGUG